AGCAGUACCGCGGUAAUACGAAGGGUGCAAGCGUUAAUCGGAAUUACUGGGCGUAAAGCGUGCGCAGGCGGAGGGUUAAGUAGGAAGUGAAAGGUCGGAGCUCAACUCCAACAUUGCUUCCUAUACUGGCCCUCUUGAGUCCCGGAGAGGAAAGCGGAACGACACGUGUAGCGGUGAAAUGCGUUGAUAUGUGUCGGAACACCAAUGGCGAAGGCAGCUUUCUGGACGGGUACUGACGCUCAGGCGCGAAAGCCGAGGUAGCGAACAGGAUUAGAUACCCCAGUAGUCCCUGUCUCUUAUACA
Molecule: ribosomal RNA, 303 nt
Filed under: uncultured bacterium
Lineage: Bacteria
Description: partial 16S ribosomal RNA
Rfam family: Bacterial small subunit ribosomal RNA
Source: RNAcentral